This 168-nucleotide ribosomal RNA is filed under the name Giardia duodenalis. RNAcentral describes it as "Giardia intestinalis partial small subunit ribosomal RNA". Lineage: Eukaryota; Fornicata; Diplomonadida; Hexamitidae. The record is from RNAcentral.
CCCCAAGGACACAAGCCAUGCAUGCCCGCACACCCGGGAAGCGGCGGACGGCUCAGGACAACGGUUGCACCCCCCGCGGCGGUCCCUGCUAGCCGGACACCGCUGGCAACCCGGCGCCAAGACGUGCGCGCAAGUGCGGGCGCCCGCGGGCGAGCAGCGUGACGCAGA